GUCUACGGCCAUACCACCCUGAACGCGCCCGAUCUCGUCUGAUCUCCGAAGCUAAGCAGGGUCAGGCCUGGUUAGUACUUGGAUGGGAGAGAUGGAACAAUGGGCAGACAGGAGCUCUAGCUC
This 123-nucleotide ribosomal RNA is filed under the name Octodon degus (degu). Lineage: Eukaryota; Metazoa; Chordata; Mammalia; Rodentia; Octodontidae. The record is from RNAcentral.